Gymnodraco acuticeps is the source of this 273-nucleotide long non-coding RNA. RefSeq lists it as uncharacterized. The record is from RefSeq and is a predicted model, not a curated record. The transcript has 3 exons. Lineage: Eukaryota; Metazoa; Chordata; Actinopteri; Perciformes; Bathydraconidae.
AUCCAGCAUUGAUAUGUUCCCCUGUGUACUGACUCUCAUAUUUAUAAAUCUGUUUGUUUUUGGAUUAAAUUCAGGAAGAAGAAUGCUUCGAGCUCCACCACUGAAGUGAAUGAACCCAUAGAGACUGUGGAGUUGGACCCUUGUUCUGUGUAUGAGAACGUCUCAGACCUGAACAUGGUCUCUGCAGAACAGACAGAAGAACCAGAGGAGCAGGAGGACCUGGUCUGAAGAUGCAUCAAACCAGAGGGAGACUCACCUGGAUGAAACAGAGAG